UAUGGCCAUAUCACGUUGAAACAUCGGUUCCAGUAGGAUCACUGAAAUUAAGCAUCGUCAAGCCUGGUCAGUACCUCGAUGGGUGACCUCUUGGGAAUACCAGGUGCUGUAAG
Non-coding RNA from Acanthosepion pharaonis, 113 nucleotides. NCBI's taxonomy places the organism in Eukaryota, Metazoa, Mollusca, Cephalopoda, Sepiida, Sepiidae. The record is from the annotation of a GenBank genome assembly.